Molecule: RNA transcript, 4487 nt
Organism: Macrobrachium nipponense
Lineage: Eukaryota; Metazoa; Arthropoda; Malacostraca; Decapoda; Palaemonidae
Exons: 13
Source: RefSeq, a predicted model, not a curated record
GUGUUGUCGGUUCUGGUGGUAACGUGGGAAGUAGGGGUGUGCUCGCUUAGGAAAGUGGAAAUUCCUGCCAUGACGUUCCCUUGUAAAUAAUUAUGUCGUAACUUUAGGAGGAAAUGCAUCGAUACUUCGUUUAAAAGAAGUGCGUGGUGUGUCGACAUAUAGCCCGGUUUACUAUAUAAAGAAAAAAAUUCACUAAUAACCGAACCACUUCGUAGCAUCGAAUUGGGAUCCAAAUCAUAGCCAUAACCAAAUGCAUUGGAUCAGCGCAACUGUGAGCCUCGUUCCGAACAAGUCACGUCGAAUUUGACGGAGGCGUCUCAAGAAUCCAUCCUCCCAUUUCUUAGAACAGUUCUUAUCUACAGGCCUCAGCUGCACCCAUUCGACGUCUAAGUCUAUGACCCUCAAAAUUGCAUUCCGGAGAAACCAUAUCGCCUCAGAUGUGGUAAAACUUUCCGAAUAAAAACCCUUGGGAACAAAGUCAAGCUCUGUCACUCUUUUUCAUCCUUUUGUCUGUACUUCUGUCAUAGACACGACCGCCAAAAUUCCGUCCAAGGUGUUCUUCAAGAUGUGGACUCUUCAGAGGCCCAAUAAGGAUCCCGACAAGAAGUGGCUCGUGAACAAAGAGAGUAAGUACUCUUCUCUUCUUCGUCCUGGUAGCAAGAAGAACAAAGAGAAUGAAGCUGCUCGGGACACGACCGUCAUCAACUACCGGACCGUCGACAGGCUCCACGACCGGGUCUCCGAUCGCUUCAUCGACCCCAGGGCCGACCCCAGACUCCUGGUCGAUCCGCGCGUCGACCACAGGAUCCUGGAUCCCCGAUACAUCGAACACCACAGGCUCAUGAUGGAUCCCAGAAUGGGUUCUUUAGACCCCAGGCUUCUGCCACCUCCGAGGAUCUUGGAUCUGGACCAGGAGGUCGAGUGCAAGAACGAACCGCGCAUCGAACCGGAGUACAAACCCAGAGUCGAACCCCCGGACUUCAAGACCCGCCUGGAAGCAGCGCGCGUUGAACCGCGCCUGGAAGCACGCGUCGAACCCCGCCUGGAAUCCAGGCUGGAACCUCGCGCCAACGGCGUCGUCUCUGGAGGUGCUGCCGAUGAGGGCGAUCCCAAGGUCCGCUUGGAGGCCAAACUGGAAUCUCCCCCGCGCGAGGUCCGGCUGAGGGACGGCAGCAAGGACCGCGGGGACCUGCGCAGGACUUUGAAACGCAUGGAAGCGAGGAUGAAUCGCUACGAACCGGACGGAAGGGAUCGGUUCGUCGAGCGCUACGUCGAAGAGGUCUCGAGGUUAACAGAACAGCAAAGCUGUGGUCCUGCCCCGAAGGUGGAAAUGGUGUCUCGUCGACGCAUUCUGGGUCGAUCCCAGGACAACCUCAACGUCGAUCUGCCCUACAUGGAGGACGAGGACGACGUCUGGUACAAGACGGAGAAGCUCUUGAAGGAUCACAUCGCCGAGGUGUUGAUGAAAUGGGAGCAGAUCGACGACGAAAUUUGGGCCAAGGUCAUCGUCCUCGAGAGUAAUCGAAGAGUAGCUAAAGCCUACGCCAGAGUACCUGUCCUCACAGUCAAUGGAUCCGAUGACGGUUUCGAUGGAUACAGAAUUGGUUUAUGUGGGUUUGAAAAUCCAAUGCGUGAUCCACGAACAGAUGACGUCAAAAGACACAUUGGCCAAGGUGUAAAGCUGAAGAUGGACGACCAAGGCAACAUACUGAUAAAAAGGGUAUCCAAAGCUGGAGUCUACGUCAAGAUAACCAGCGAUGACAACGCCAUAAGCAACGAGAUACUGAAACUCCCCAACUGUUGUUUAGAAUCAGAAAGGCCAGUCAUGCUAUUCGACAUGAACAAAUUCCAGCAGAAUGUCAACCGGGAAAUGCGACGCCAGUACCCUGACAGAUCUAAACUGGAGUUGCAGUGUGUCUGCGUCAUCGCCUUCGUCAAGAAUGAGUCUGAUCUCCUCGACUGUCCCAUCUGGGUCAUGAUCAUCAAUAUCGUUGCCAUGGAUAUGCUUAAGAGUAAAUUACCGCCAGCUAAAGUCGCCCCUAACAUCCGAAAUAGACCUAGGAUCCCCAUUCCUGAUGAGGACCCCUACAGUGUCGCAGGCUCUGGUGCUUCCUCCGGAUCCUCGGCCGGAAAGGACCGUAAGGAUAAGCCCCCCAAGUUGCCCCCACGAGACAAUCCCCACUACCCGCCUGGACCUGUGCCUAGAUCUAAUGGAAAGUCUGAUUAUGAUGUAUUGGAUGAAAAUGCAUUCCGCAAAUCAAAUACAAGAAAUAACAAGUCUAAGGAUCGUAAAUAUGAUGACCCUUACUACUGUGGCCUCCGUGCUCAUAUUCCCAACUUCGCCAAAGCUAAGUCGAAGGGUAAAGUUGAGCCGGCUCGAGCCCCAUACCUCAACGCUCCCCCACCCCCUAUGUGGCAUACCCGCAGCUUCGAUUCGGGCAUGGCUCUUUUGCAACACAACCAAGCCCAAAAUAUUCACAGGCUAGACCGCAACCCCUGCUCUUGGGUGCCAACGUUACCAGCAAGAAACGAAACUGAAUGGGAAUCGUACUGGGACUCAUGAACUGUGUAUCACACUUAGUCAAAAAAGUGGAAGCAUAAGAAUGGCGUCAAGAGGCUUCUAGACUCUGAUUUCACCGAAUCUCCAUACUCCCAACUGUACGGAAGACUUCCGCUGCCCAACCGAGCGUUCAUGCCACCACCACCACCCCUCCACCCUCGCUCCAUGUAUGUUGGCGAUUGGAACUGAGAUCCCACUGUGAGAAGGCAACUUGGAGGGGAAAGUUUAGGAAAGGAAAUCUGCAACUCCUCACUUCCCCAGGCAGUACAAGGAGGAGAAGUUGAGGGGUCAAUUACGGAGGGAUUUUUGAGACUCUCGGAAAUCAGAAGCUGAUUUUAUUGAGUCCUCUCCAUCCUGCAACUCGGUUAUUUUUCUGAUAUAUUUCGUUUUAUAUUAUGAUUUUCUCAUCUACAUCCCUUAGCUUCUUAUUUUCUCGUGUGUAUGAUUUUCCCAUUGAAAAUCAGACAGACUUGGAUCAAGUAGCGCAUAUUGCGUCAGAUGAGGGUGUGGCUGCAACAAAGCCUCAGUGUUUUUAUAUUAAAAAGGGGUGAAAACCUCUGAUAUCCUUCUGUAUGCAGUACUUUUGAAUAUUUGACGCCAUCAUAGACUUUGCUGACAGCUGUUAUCGGAGUAUUGAUAGUGAUCAUAAUAAUUCAAUAAGUUAUUUUUUAUGGUGUAAAUAAGGUUUUGUGGAAGUCCAGAAUUUGCAUAUUUUACCUUAAUCAAACAAGAGCCUUUCCUUUCUCAAAAGUAAUUUUUUUCACUUCAAUAUCCUUUUAUGGUUUAGUAUUUGAAGGGUUUCCACAUUCUAGGCAAACACCAGUCUCAAAUUUUAUGGUAAGAUAAAGCCUAGGGAACAUGAUAUUUUUCCUCUUAAAUGUAGGCCCAAAUGUGAUACUUUUGACAAGACUGUGAGCAACUGCCCAUACAUAUUUAGCAGUAUCAGAUUUGGCCAUUUUUGCAGGCAUAAUAUUUUAUUUAUAUAUAUUUUUUUUCAUUGCUGCACAUGGAACAAUCAGUGGACUUGUUACUUACUGCUGCUAUUUCUAUUUCUCUGGCAGCCAUAUUGGAUUGCCUGUUUUUCUGUUUCAGUAUUUUUAUGUUUUGUAAAUACUUGACAUUCGUGAGUGUAAAUGAUGGUAAUUAAAUGCAUAUUUCUCUCAUAAUCCCCUCAAUAUUUUUACAAAUUGAUGUGAAUCACCAUGCAAGCAUUUCUGUGUAUGUUGUACAGACAUUUAAUAAAUUGUUUAAUUAUUAGGGUUCUUGUACAUCCAGCUGGAAUGUAGAAAAUUAUGCCGUAUUUAACAUGACCUUUUGCAUCCUGAAAAUUUACAUUUAGUACAUGAUUUAUUUGCCAUAAUGUAAUGUACAAGGAACAUCAGAUGAGCACCUCUGUUGACUGAUUUGUUUUCUUUACAUGUACAUUUUACAAGACAAUAGCACCACAUACCAAAUGCUAUUGAUCAUAGUUGGAAGGAAAAAUGCCCAAAAUGUGGGUUCAAAUCACCAGUAACCUUUUUUUUUUGUCACCCAAGUUUUCCUGUUGAUCAUGACAUGCGAGAAAGGAUGCAAGACUGAACACCCUUGCCAGUAACCUACAUGUAAUCAUUUGUAAAUAAUGAUGGCAAUUACUUUCCAAGGCUUGAAUCCUUUCUCUACCUUGUUUAAUGUGUUUAUGUAUUUCUAUCUCUCUCCCUCUUCUCUUGAUAGCACACUAAUGGAUGAAAUAACUUCAUCCAAGAUGCGUAGUUAGGAUUGUUUCCACCAUUUAAUGUUGUACUCAUGAUUAUAAAUGUAUACUCAAACAUUUCUGCAAUAUUUUUAUAUGAGUGUUGUACACUUAUAUCUCACCCCACACACAUUUUUAAAAACAGUUCUAUUUACCCGAUUGUAACUACUGUAUAUGUGAUUAAAAUAACUGAUUUGA